RNAcentral lists this ribosomal RNA (503 nucleotides) under uncultured bacterium. RNAcentral's name for it is "partial 16S ribosomal RNA". It matches the Rfam family "Bacterial small subunit ribosomal RNA", at positions 30 to 523 of the family's 1533-position model. The record is from RNAcentral.
AUUGAACGCUGGCGGCAGGCUUAACACAUGCAAGUCGAGCGGGGUGAUGGUGCUUGCACUAUCACUUAGCGGCGGACGGGUGAGUAAUGCUUAGGAAUCUGCCUAUUAGUGGGGGACAACAUCUCGAAAGGGAUGCUAAUACCGCAUACGUCCUACGGGAGAAAGCAGGGGAUCACUUGUGACCUUGCGCUAAUAGAUGAGCCUAAGUCGGAUUAGCUAGUUGGUGGGGUAAAGGCCUACCAAGGCGACGAUCUGUAGCGGGUCUGAGAGGAUGAUCCGCCACACUGGGACUGAGACACGGCCCAGACUCCUACGGGAGGCAGCAGUGGGGAAUGUUGGACAAUGGGGGGAACCCUGAUCCAGCCAUGCCGCGUGUGUGAAGAGGGCCUUAUGGUUGUAAAGCACUUUAAGCGAGGAGGAGGCUCUUUUGGUUAAUACCCAAGAUGAGUGGACGUUACUCGCAGAAUAAGCACCGGCUAACUCUGUGCCAGACGCCGCCGUAA